UUUCCGUAGGUGAACCUGCGGAAGGAUCAUUCAUAAUAAGUGUUUUAUGGCACUUUUUUAAAUCCAUAUCCACCUUGUGUGCCAUGUCAGGGUUGAUUUUCCUCUCGAGAGGAUCAACCCCAAACAUCAACUAUAUCUCACCUCUUUGUCUGAAAAAUAUUAUGAAUAAAACAAUUCAAAAUACAACUUUCAACAACGGAUCUCUUGGCUCUC
RNAcentral lists this unclassified non-coding RNA (213 nucleotides) under plant metagenome. RNAcentral describes it as "partial contains small subunit ribosomal RNA, internal transcribed spacer 1, and 5.8S ribosomal RNA". The record is from RNAcentral.